RNAcentral lists this ribosomal RNA (1627 nucleotides) under Salmonella enterica. RNAcentral's name for it is "partial 23S ribosomal RNA". It matches the Rfam family "Bacterial large subunit ribosomal RNA", at positions 1154 to 2739 of the family's 2925-position model. The record is from RNAcentral. Lineage: Bacteria; Pseudomonadati; Pseudomonadota; Gammaproteobacteria; Enterobacterales; Enterobacteriaceae.
CGUAUCACCCAAGACAACUUUACGGAGUUGACGAUUGACGGAGCGAAGCGACGUCAAAGCGUUCAUUAAAGUCGAGUUGGCUUAGGGAUACGUUCGUUGGGUAGGGGAGCGUUCUGUAAGCCUGUGAAGGUGGCCUGUGAGGGUUGCUGGAGGUAUCAGAAGUGCGAAUGCUGACAUAAGUAACGAUAAAGCGGGUGAAAAGCCCGCUCGCCGGAAGACCAAGGGUUCCUGUCCAACGUUAAUCGGGGCAGGGUGAGUCGACCCCUAAGGCGAGGCCGAAAGGCGUAGUCGAUGGGAAACGGGUUAAUAUUCCCGUACUUGGUGUUACUGCGAAGGGGGGACGGAGAAGGCUAUGUUGGCCGGGCGACGGUUGUCCCGGUUUAAGCGUGUAGGCUGGUUUUCCAGGCAAAUCCGGAAAAUCAAGGCUGAGGCGUGACGACGAGGCACUACGGUGCUGAAGCAACAAAUGCCCUGCUUCCAGGAAAAGCCUCUAAGCAUCAGGUAACACGAAAUCGUACCCCAAACCGACACAGGUGGUCAGGUAGAGAAUACCAAGGCGCUUGAGAGAACUCGGGUGAAGGAACUAGGCAAAAUGGUGCCGUAACUUCGGGAGAAGGCACGCUGACACGUAGGUGAAGUGAUUUACUCAUGGAGCUGAAGUCAGUCGAAGAUACCAGCUGGCUGCAACUGUUUAUUAAAAACACAGCACUGUGCAAACACGAAAGUGGACGUAUACGGUGUGACGCCUGCCCGGUGCCGGAAGGUUAAUUGAUGGGGUCAGCGCAAGCGAAGCUCCUGAUCGAAGCCCCGGUAAACGGCGGCCGUAACUAUAACGGUCCUAAGGUAGCGAAAUUCCUUGUCGGGUAAGUUCCGACCUGCACGAAUGGCGUAAUGAUGGCCAGGCUGUCUCCACCCGAGACUCAGUGAAAUUGAACUCGCUGUGAAGAUGCAGUGUACCCGCGGCAAGACGGAAAGACCCCGUGAACCUUUACUAUAGCUUGACACUGAACAUUGAGCCUUGAUGUGUAGGAUAGGUGGGAGGCUUUGAAGUGUGGACGCCAGUCUGCAUGGAGCCGACCUUGAAAUACCACCCUUUAAUGUUUGAUGUUCUAACGUGGACCCGUGAUCCGGGUUGCGGACAGUGUCUGGUGGGUAGUUUGACUGGGGCGGUCUCCUCCUAAAGAGUAACGGAGGAGCACGAAGGUUGGCUAAUCCUGGUCGGACAUCAGGAGGUUAGUGCAAUGGCAUAAGCCAGCUUGACUGCGAGCGUGACGGCGCGAGCAGGUGCGAAAGCAGGUCAUAGUGAUCCGGUGGUUCUGAAUGGAAGGGCCAUCGCUCAACGGAUAAAAGGUACUCCGGGGAUAACAGGCUGAUACCGCCCAAGAGUUCAUAUCGACGGCGGUGUUUGGCACCUCGAUGUCGGCUCAUCACAUCCUGGGGCUGAAGUAGGUCCCAAGGGUAUGGCUGUUCGCCAUUUAAAGUGGUACGCGAGCUGGGUUUAGAACGUCGUGAGACAGUUCGGUCCCUAUCUGCCGUGGGCGCUGGAGAACUGAGGGGGGCUGCUCCUAGUACGAGAGGACCGGAGUGGACGCAUCACUGGUGUUCGGGUUGUCAUGCCAAUGGCACU